RNAcentral lists this ribosomal RNA (440 nucleotides) under uncultured bacterium. Its description in RNAcentral is "partial 16S ribosomal RNA". It matches the Rfam family "Bacterial small subunit ribosomal RNA", at positions 338 to 795 of the family's 1533-position model. The record is from RNAcentral.
CCUACGGGUGGCAGCAGUGGGGAAUAUUGCUCAAUGGGGGAAACCCUGAUGCAGCGACGCCGCGUGAAUGAUGAAGUAAUUAGGGAUGUAAAGCUCUUUUAGUAGAGAAGAAAAUGACGGUACCUGAGUAAGAAGCCCCGGCUAACUACGUGCCAGCAGCCGCGGUAAUACGUAGGGGGCAAGCGUUAUCCGGAUUUACUGGGUGUAAAGGGGGCGUAGACGGCGGUGUAAGUCUGGAGUGAAAGGCGGGGGCUCAACCCCAGGACUGCACUGGAAACUGUAAGGCUGGAGUGCAGGAGAGGUAGGUGGAAUUCCUGGUGUAGCGGUGAAAUGCGUAGAUAUUAGGAGGAACACCAGUGGCGAAGGCGGCUUACUGGACUGUAACUGACGUUGAGGCUCGAAAGCGUGGGGAGCAAACAGGAUUAGAUACCCCAGUAGUC